GUCGAUCCCUUUAUCCACCUCCUCAACUUCGCUAAACCGAAUUCUUAUCCGCCGUAAGCCUUAUGCAACUUUUGUGUCUUCAUAUUCUUUUUCUUCAUUAAUUUCUUGGGUCUAUAUAUUUGUGAAUUCUGCUUUAAGGGUUUUUUCAUAAACGAAUUGGAUCUUUGAUUUGGGAGGGGUUCAUCAUGAAUUUGUACAAAAGUGAAUUAGGUAUGUGAUUGGGGUUUCUUCUUCUUGAAAAUUGGGUAUGUGAUUUGGGGUUUUUCUUUAUCGAUUUAUGAAUUGGGUAUGUGAUUUGGGUUUUUUUGUUCAUGGAUUUGUUUAAAAAUUAAUGGGUAUAUUAUUUCAAUUCUAUUUACUCUUCUUGCGUGAAAUUCUUGAAUAAUUUAUUUCAGUUUUAGAUUUAAUUUUCGUUAAUUGUUGAGGUAUAAUUAUGAAAUUAUUUUCCAAUCAUUAAUUAUUAAUUCUUGAAUAAUUAUACUUUGUAUGUUUUCUCAGUGCAUAAAGAAUAUGCUACCCAGGGAAAAUCAUGAGAUAUAUAGAGGUUGAACUGAACUGGUUUGCAUCGUGAAAUAAAGUUUGUUAUGUUUUUUGUUUGAUUUUUGAGAAAAAUUAAAAUGAAAAGUAUUAUUACUACUUAAAUAUAUAAAUAAUAUUGUAUUAAUGGAUUUAAUAUCUAAAUUUAAAAUAAUAUAGUAUUAAAUUAAGCAUGUAUAUUUAUAUAUAUUGAUUAGUAUUUGUUGAAUUUUUUUAUAGAUUUGAUGAGAAGGUACUUUGUGAGCAGAACUACAGUGCCUAUUGAAAUUCACAAAUUUUUAGCAGCCUCACAGAUUGAUUGCGGAGAAUAAAGUUGUCUAAGGGUUUCGAUUUUGAAUUCGCCAGGUACACACUUAUGUGUUUUAAUGUUGUUCAUAUGAGAUGAUUUAAGGACUUGAUGGACAGGGGCUUUGAUGUUGUUUAUGUGAGAUUAUUUAAUGAUUUGGGGGAAAAAGAGUUUGAUAUUCUUUAGAAGAUGAUAUUUUAUUUUUAAUUUUUUUUACGGUUAAGAGACAAAAUAAAUAAUAAUUAUGUAUUUUUUGGGUGAUGGGUGUGAAGAUACACACUUAUGUAUUUUAUUUUUAAUUUUUUAAGAUUUAGAAGAUAUUUUUAUUAUUUUUUUAUUUUGUUGGAAUAAAAUGGAUUUUUGGGUAAUGGGUGUGACACUUUCAAAUCUGGGUACAUCAUUCCCACAAGAUUUGGUGUUCACUAUCCAAACAUCCAUUUCUAACUAUCCAAAUAUAAUAAAAUUUAAACCAUAAUUUUUCCUAUUAAAGGGUUACAUAACUUAAACCAAUAAAUCCCAGGUCAUCUAACCUUAAACAUUCAUCAAAUGUGGAAAAUUAAAUAAUUACAUCACAAUAAUUGUGACGCCCCCAAAUCUGGGUAUCUUCCAACCCGACAGAUGAUGCUCCACGAUACUACAAUCCAUACAAUCAUUCCAUUGAAAUAGCAACAAAAUGAGUGUAACUACUAUCUUUGUAUUACAUUUUUAAUAAAUCCUUUCUCAGGUUCAUAAACCGAAUACAUUCUUUGUUCUUAAUGAGUAUAUUACAUAAAUACACUAAUCUAUUACAGGACGAUUAAUUGUCUAUCUUAGCCUUGCCUUUAUCUCUUCUAGAACUCUCAGUUCGUUCGGCUUUACCUGCAAACAUAUGGUUCAAGCAAGAAUGAGCAUAACUAGCUCAGCAAGCCUUAACAAAGAAUCAUAUGAACAUCACAUUAACAAUUACAUGCUUUACUUCCAUAACUGAACAAUUAACUACGAAGCACUAUGGAACAUUUGACUAGUACUUCUCAUGUCAUAAUAACAAUUCCAAAGUAUAUAUAAUAUCUUAGGAAUUCUGAACCGGUCAAAAGACCAUGAGCAUACUCUUUUCGUUUUCAUACUUGAAAAGGACAUCUGGCACUAAGGCCAUCCAUCCGUCUUUACUUACGAGCACUUCUAGGUGAUUAGCCUAUUGUACUCUAUGUUGAUCAACACUCUUAGGUUAAUCGUAUUUACGCUUAACAUUUGGCAACCUCACGUGCCCAUCGAAUAAUCGAUAAAAAAUACUUUUGUUUGUACAUAGACAAACUUACCUUUUCAUCCGUACCAAAUACUUGGCAUAGGAUAGCGUUAACAGUUCUAUAUCGAAAGACUUGUAAACAAAUCAAUCCAUCCUUCAGUAUUUGUCUAACCGAGUUAAAACAGGCAUCGACUCUUUCUUUAAAACCAUUCAUGCAUUGUAUAACAUGCAUCACAGAAAACUUGGCUAACACGAAGGUUAAACAAGCGUUAAGAAAGACUUGCCUUCAAACAUCUUUGAAGAAACAAUUCAACAAUUCUCAGUCUUUACAGGAUCUACAUGAUAUAUUCAUAUAUCACACUGUAAUUAGUUAUCAAACAAACUAACUUUAUUUGUUUAUAACCAACUUCUUUCUCUUCUAUGUUUUAUUCGAAUUAACUUCGUUAUUAAAGUCGAUUUGACUUCCUAUACUUUGUUACGGCUCGUUAACGUUCUUACGUUACUAACCGACAUUCGAUCAUCAUUGGUGAAGCACCAACGUUGAACGUCAUUUAUGGUUUCCUUAUUACGUUAUCGCAUUCUUCGUUUAAUUUCUAUUAAGCCUUACUAAAUCCUUUAACAUUAUCACCUUAUAAGUGAUUUAAGGUCAGUCUUAUUAUGUACAUUAAGUACCUUCAAUGUCUUACCUUAGGUCUACAUUCAAAUGGAACAAAACCUAACUUGGUCAACAUUUUUACACUGACGGCGUUGCGGCGCGACAUCCUUACAUUACAGUGGCGCUGCAGCGUCACUCUUCAGGGGUUUUGCCCGGACAUGGCGUUGUGGCGCGAGUCCAUGCACUAAUUCUCGCGCUGCGGCGCGAGUUUCCAGACAUUUAUGGCUUCUCUAGGACAUACUUGGUGCCGCGACGUGGUAAAAAUACACUGGGUUGGCGCUGCGGCGCCGCCCCUGUGCACCAGUUGGCCAAAACAGUUUUCUUUUCUAACAAACUCCCGGCUUCCUAAUUUGUUCGUUUUACAUCCGAAUUGACCCAUUCAAAAGCAUACAACUCACAAAUUACAUCCUUUACGUGUUCGUAUAAGAAUUCUACACUUUCGAAUCCGUUAACUCGGAAUUCACCUUUGAGUUCAUUUUUGAUCAUUCGUUUAAUGUUUUUCGACGGUUCAAUACUCGUUUUCUUCGUUCUAAGUCGAAAUUCGACGAUUCUUGCGCCAGCGACUCUUAAUUACCUUAUCUCACGUGUUGACAUUGAAAACCAAAGUUUUCAAGUCACACGAUAACUUUUGACCUUUAAUCUGAGAUAUUUACGUUUUCGACGUUUAACGUCUAUUUUCGCAAAAUUCGCCAUAACUUUGUUACUUGUGUUCUAUAUUCCAAAUCAAAUGGAACACUCCAUUGAUUCAUCAUCUAUAUCCUAACCAAACAAUAUUCACAUUCCUUAGCUAUAACGGUUUUCAAAUCGUCCCUUCAUAACUAAGUUCACGUUCAAGACUUUCUACGGUUUUAACUCACGUAAACACUUACGAUUUCUAUUUGGUCAUGACCUAUCAAUGUUUUGAUCAUUAAUAGACAUCCUUAUAUCUCCUCAAUAAACAUGCUCCACCAAUCUACGAUCCUUCUACGAGAAAGAAAUCGAAAAAGAUAAAGAUUACGGUUUAUGAGAAUUUACCUUUGAAGUAAUUCACGUUCUUGAUAAACGUCUAAAGGUUUGCUUGGAAGUAGAAUAAUUAAGUGUUUCUAGCUCUUUCUCUCUCUCAAUAUGUAUUGGUCAAGCUUUGUAAAAUAACAAUUAACCAACUCUAGGUUUGUAUUUAUAGAAAACCAAAAUGAGGGCAAAAUGGUCAACUUUUCCACCUCCUUACUAUUCCACGUCCUUUGCAACUUAGCCACCAAGUAAUGACUUUACUUGGUGGCCAAGUGGCCGGCCCACCUCCCCUUUUUGUCACCCCAUGGGUUGCCCCAUGGGUUUUACCCAUCCCACGACCCACCGGUUCGACCCGCGAUUUAACUUUUUGGAUUGGGCUUGACAUAACUUAACGUUGGGCCUUAACUUGGGCUUGUAUACUUAAUUCAUUGGGCUUGAUAUUAAUCCAAGUCCAAUUGGAUUGUAUAAAAUCCUUAACUCAUACUCCAUUAAUACCUCUCGUAUUCUACACGUAUAACUCCCGUAUUCCCUUCGUCUAAUACUCCUACGAUAUUCGUAUUAUACGUCGUAUUAUUCUUCGUACCAUACUGGUAUUCAUACUAGUAUAAUACUCGUAUCUCAUACGUAGAAUAAUCGAAAUGACUAUACACAUUGCAUUUCCCUUUCGAAAAUCUCUUUCACAAACCCUUAGGUUUUAAGUCCGCAGGCGAAACUUUGUUUGCCAUAACGGAAAUAUUAUUGGAUAUUCCAUAAUAUCUUCAUAUUCUAUCAUUACGCGUUUCUCGAAAUUUCCAACCCUAGCUCCGAACGAAAUCGGAUGAAUAGUGUUUUUACGCAAACAUUCUCGGAAAACCUUCGUUUUCGUCUUGAUAAUUCACAACAAUUAAUCCUAGCACAAAGCCAGAAUACUAACCACAUCCGUAUAUUCUAGGUCAUAGAACGACCUUCGAACAUCGUACUCACAUAAUAAAUCAAUUAAAUUCAUUUAAUUCACAUAAUCAAAUAAAAAUUUAAUUCAUUCAAAAUCCAAAAUUCUCGGGCGUUACAAUAAUUAAAACAAAGUCUGACAACAUAAAAGUCAAUAAAUUUGCAAGUCUUCAACACUUGUUCUUUUUUCCUUUCCCUUUGCUAGUGGUAGGUUCAUCAACCUUCUCAACUUUAGCUACAAUGGUUAUAUAUUUAAGAGUGAUCAAAACAAAUGCUCACUUGAAAAUGCAAUGAAUAAUAACAAUAUAGAAACUGCCAAUGAAUAAUCUCAAUUAAACUGAAUAACAUUCUCUAUCAUUAAUAAUCAAGAACUGAAAUCAGAAUUUGAAAUUUAUCUGAGGGUCACAAGACCAUGAACUAUGUCCAAGGUUAUAAGAAUUCUUUCAACUUAAACCUAAACAGUCAUAAGACUGUAGGGACUCCCCGUACUUAGGGUGAUCAACCCUUUGUACCAUGUAUUGUGCACAAACAUCUAAACGCUUGCGCGUAAUAAAUCCCCUAUAAUAGGGUUAUUUAUCUCAUUUUUAACAUAUGAGUCCGCACCAAAGGAAGUUUGGUUUGGAUAGGUUUCAAGGGUAAUUUAGAGUUCAACGAACAUCAACUAACAAUUAGUUGAAUCAAUAAAGUUUGAUAUCAUUUCAAGUGUUCGAUAACAAUAUGAUAUAGAAUAAUCAUGUAUCAUAAGUAAAUCAACAUUAUACAUCGAAAUCAUGCUUUAGAAAUGAACUAGAAAGAGUAGGCAUUGUAUAUUAUAACAAACCUAGCUUGAACAACAAUAAACUAAGGCUAUAAUCUUGCUCAAUAAAAGGAUUGAGUUAAUGAACUUGCAUAAUUAAUAACAAGUUGAGGAAUAAAACUUUUUCAUCAUAAGAUUAAUAGAAUUUAGGAAUUUGCAUAAUAAGAAACAAGUUAAAGAUAGGAAACCUUCUCAAAGUAAGAGUUAGGUUAAAGAGCUUACGUGAACAUAAUCAAAUUAUAAAAGUAGGGUUAGGAACUUGCUCAAUUGUAAACAAGAUAGGGUAAACUCAAAUAGAAAUUAGAGUUCAGAAACUUGCCUCGUGCGUAAGCUAUUAAAUUAUAACUCACGUUCACUUACACAUCAUUAGAAUCACAACAUCUAUUAGGUAUACUAACAUUAACCUUAAAAGUUAAAUCCCAUUUUAGUUGAACUAGUUAUCUUAGUACAAGUUCCAAUCACUAGCACCAUACAAAAUUCUGAAAUCACAAGUCUUAACAUUACAACACUUAAUCACCAUCUCUAGACUUUAACAAAUAAUAACAUGAAGCUUUCACAACUUACUAAUUUUACAAUUCGGAAUUAUCAAAUACAUAUUACAAUCUGUUAUAGCAUCUUUGUUACAUACUCACCACAUUAUCAUUUUCAUUAGACUAGGUUAGAUUGAGUUUUAAAAACUGAACAAUAAACAAGACAUCACUGUGACGCCUCCAAAUUCGGCUACUAGUCCAUUUUUAACAAAAACGAUAAACGUUCGUGAACGUUCAAUGCUCGUUUCUUCGUUCUAAGUCGGAAUCCGGCCAUUUUUGAGUCCGCAACUCUAUAAUGCCAAAUAUGACUUGUCUCCAUUGAAAACCAACGUUUCCAAGCUCAAUAUCAAAAUUCGACUUCCAUUCCGAGAAUUUCAUGAAUUCGACUAUUGUCGUCUAAUCGUGUGAAUUCCGGUGAAACUUCGUUACUUGAGAUUUUUAAACCGUUUCAAUUGGAUUCAAUCCAUUAUACUAACAUCUUGACACCCAUACUACAUUAACUUAUAAACAUGAUAAGUUAUUACCUAUUCUUGAUGAUUUUGUUACUUAUGAAAAUAUAGAUCACUUAUAUUUCCAUUUUCAUGACUUAUGUCUUCUUUGCAUAUGGCUUAUUAUGGUUAAUGAUUUUUAACCAUUCUUCUUACUUCUUAUUACCAUACUCACUUUAUAAAUGUGAACAUGUUACAAGUUCUCACAAGUUCUUAUACAUUUAUUAUGAGUUCAUAACUUAUUUAUGAAUGAAUUACUUAUUCAUGACUUAUACGGCUUAUUAAGACUUAAGCCCUUUGAUUCAUUAUUCCAACCCCUUCUUAGCAUGCUUGUUCUACCAAUACCCCAUUCUCUAACAAUGGAAGAGAAAGAGAAUCAAGGUUCAAGAAUACUUACUCUUGAAUAACACUUGGUAAAUCUUUAAUCUCCUUCUUGAUUCUUGAACUUCAAAGGUUAACUUGCUAGCUUAUUCUCACUUAUUCUCUCAAGCAAAUAAGCAUAUAAGUUGUUGGUGGAACACUCUAAUAAUAGAAGUUAAGCUUUAAAGUGCUUAUCCUCUCUAAUACUUAAGUUGUUUUGAAAUGGAUGAAAACUAACAACCAAAUAAAUGAAAACAAAGCUUGCUAUUUAUAGAAAAUCCUAGAUGAGGGCAUAAUGGUCAACAAGCCAUUCCACCUCCUUACUAUUUAUGUCUUAGCCACCAAGUAAACUUGUUCUCCAAAUAAAUUACUUGGCCAUCACAACACUUAGCCCUUAAGUCUCUUUACUUGGCCACCACAAUACUUAGCCAUUAAGUUAUCUUGCUCCCCACACUUUUUGCUUAGCCAUUAAGCUACUUGUUUAUCACUUUGGAUCACCCAUGGGUUGCCCCAUGGUUCAUACUUACUCAUUGGAUCAUAGCUUGGGCUUUAGCUUAAUUAGCUUAGCUUAUACAUUGGGCUUUACAUUUACAAAUACUUGGGCUUGCUCAUUAAUUUAUAUUCGACUUAACCAUUCCUAUAUUUGGGCCUUAUCAAACCCCAUUGGACUUAAAUAUUUCCUACACAAUCCUACAAAUUCAAUACAUUUGGCUUAAAGCCUCUUAACAUAUACUUUACGUAUUAAUCUCGUAUUCUAACUCGUAUACCUAUUCAUCAUAUACGAUAUACUAUCAUUCAUACAUACUCGUAUAAUACCUCACAUCAUACUCGUAUUCAUUCCUUCGUACAAUACCUAUGUAUAAUACGAUCAUCGCUUAAUUAAUUACAUUAACUUCUUAACGCUUGAUUUUUCCUAACGUUAUCAAAUUAAGUCCAUAGACGAAAUAUUACGUUUUCCAUAACCGAAAUAUUAUUGGAUAUUCCAUCUCACCUUGAUAUUCUAUCGUUACGUAUUUCUCGGAAGUUCAAAAAUAAUUCCCGAGCAGAAAUGUGUGAAUAGUGUUUUUCGGAAAAUUUCUCAGAAAGCUUUUAUUUUCGUCUUGGAAAUUCAAACACUUUAAUUCUAUCACGUAGCCAAAAUCCUACGAUGUUAUGACAUGUUUAGGUCAUAGAACGACCUUCAAUUAGCUUGCUCCAUAAAUAAUCCAUUAAAUUCAUUUAAUCCUUAUAAUUAAAUAAAAUUUUAAUUCUUCUAAAAAUUCGAUUUUUCUCGGGCGUUACAAUCACUGUCUCUAUUCUGGAUAAGGCGCAGUUGUGCCAAUUAAAACUCUAGAACCAGCGCAGCUGCGCAGUUUCUGCCUGACACCAGCGCAGCUGCGCUGGUGCGCAGACUGUUUCUUGCCCAGUUCAAACCCAAAACACACAAUUUUCACCAUUUAAGAAGCAAAUUAAACACACCCAUUUCAUAUAGGCUUCAUAUAAACAUUAUCCAUCAUGUAUACACUGAUUUAAAAUAACUAAAUAACUAAAACAAUCAAACCAAAAGAAUUAAAAUCAUGUUCAAGCUUAAAACUCAAAUUUUGAUGUGUUUAGCUAAUUUAAUCACUAUGACUUCAUUUCUCAACCAAAACAGUUCAUUCAAACUACAUUCUUUUAGUUUAUUUGUGAAUUAACACAUUCAAGAAUCAAUUUACAAUUUAAUUCACGAAUCAAAUAUCAAUUUUGGACUCCAACAAGCUAUAUUCAUACGUAUGCUCACUGUAACUAAUUUCUUUUCUUUUUGAACGUGAUUUUCUGAAUUAAUACACGAAAUCCAUGUUUAAAUGUUAGUUAUCACAUUACAACUACAUAUAAACACAGUGAAUCACUUUAUACAUUAAAAGUUGCAUUACACAAAUUUUGAAAAUAAAUUUUGUUUUGCAAUGAAACUCAAGAACACUAUUGCUUCAAUUAAAUUCCAUAUUCUUGAUUUAAUUCUGCAUAUAAAAAUAAUCAUCUAAAUAACAAUUUAUAUUCUCCCAAAUCAUCAACUAAAAACUCAAUUAAAGAGAAUUUUUAUGAAAACUCAAGAACACAUAAAACUUUUCAUAUAUAUAGGAACUAAAACUUUAGAAAUUAAAAUUAUACCUUCAAUUUGCUUGUUUAACAAACAAGAAUGAUUAGCUAGCUUCUUUGAUUUCUCAAACUCCUUCCUUCAAACUCAUAGACUUCUCUCAUUUUUUGUCUUUUCUCUCUUAUUUCUCUUCUUUGUUUUUUUCUUCCUUUAGUAUUAGGCUUAAACUAAAACCUAACGUAAAAAUAAAACAGACGCUAACGUGUAAAAACUGACAUAUACUAAUAACUCUACUAAAUAUAUAUCGAUUAUUUUUUAUUUUAAAUUCAAAAGCCAUAAGGCCUUGUUUGGAAAAACACUUUUACAAUAAAGACUUAAAAUUCCUUAAGCCUUGUUUGGCAACACUAAAUUUAAACUUUUUUUUUAAUUUAUUGUAAUAACUCAUUUAUAUUAUAGCUUAUUGUCACAUUUUAUUUAAUUAAAUUCUAAUAUUCAAAUUUAAUUAAAUUAAAGAUAAUAACAACUUAUUAAAUCAAUUUGCCACAUAAUCACAUUGACACAAAAUUAUAAUUUCCUUAUAAUUUUAUUUAAUAAAUUAAUACAUCACUUUCAGUACUAAAUUAAAUUAAAAAAACAUUAUAACAAUUCAUUUAAUCCUUAUCAACUCUAUAAUUUAAUUAUUAAAUUAAAUUAGAAUAUCACCACAUAAUAAUUAAUUCAUUACUCUUUUAUUUUAAUUAACUUCAAAAAUACCAAAUUACCAAUUAUCAACUUAAUUAACAUAUAACCUUAAUUAAGUUAAUUCUCAACAACUCAUGAAUUAUUUUUUAACUAAUAAAUAAUCAAAUUAAACAAAUAUUUAUUUAACAAUAAACACAUCAACUAAAAUAUUUAUUAUUUCAAUAAAUAUUUUAAAUUACAUAUAAAAAUUCGGGAUUGUUACAUCCUUCCCUUCUUACAAGGAUUCUGUCCCUAGAAUCCCAACUCAAAAAAUUUAUUCGUCACAUUGUUCCCUCCUUACAAGAAUUCUGACCCCAGAAUCAAAGACACAUAUCAAACAAAUAACUCAGUAUAGCUUUUCAUCAUUUUGUCUUCGAGUUCCCACGUAGCUUCCUCGGCACAGUGGUUCCUCCAUAUCACAUUCACGGAAGGUAUUACUUUAUUCCUGAGCACUUUUUCUUUCUUAUCAACUAUCUGGAUAGGAAUCUCCUAAUAAGACAAAUCUUUAUCGAACUGUAACGGUUCGUACUCAAUCACAUGCUUGUAGUCGGGUUUAUACGGUCUCAAUACGGAAACAUGAAAUAUAUUGUGAACUUGUUCUAAUUCUGGAGGUAGAGCUACCUCGUAAGCCACUUCACGUACUCUUCGCAACACAUCAAAGGGUCCAAUAAACCUUGGGCUUUGCUUUCCUUUCUUACCAAAUCGGAUUUUCCCAUUCCAAGGAGAAACUUUUAGGAAAACAAAAUUUCCAACGUCAAAUUCACGAUUUUAUCUGUGUUGAUCAACAUACUUCUUCUAUAUGUCUUGAGCAGCUACCAAUCUUGCUCUGAUGAGUUUGACAACCUCAGUGGUCUGCUGUACUAAUUCCGGUCCUAACAUGUGACGUUCACCAACUUCAUCCCAGCACAGUGGAGUUCUACACUUUCUGCCUUACAAUGCUUCGUAAGGCGGCAUGUCAAUGCUUGCAUGGUAACUGUUGUUGUAAGCGAAUUCAACCAACGGUAAAUGAUCAUCCCAAUUUCCUUUGAAAUUCAUAAUGCAUGCUUGCAACAUAUCUUUUAACGUCUAGAUUGUUCGUUCGCUUUGGUCGUCUGUUUGAGGAUGGUACGCUGUACUCAUUCUCAAUUGUGUUUCCAUGCAUUCUUGUAGUCUUUUCUAGAAGUUUGACGUGAAUGGCGGAUCUCUGUCUACAUGUCUCGAAACGAUCUCCUUGACGUACAACUUUGCCAACUGAUCAAGAUUGAAUCUAACCUUUAUUAGCAAAAAGUGUGCUGAUUUUGUCAACUUGUCCACUAUUACCCAAAUCGCAUCGUACCCUUUCUGAGUAGUUAGAAGACCUACCACAAAAUCCAUUGUGAUAUGCUCCCACUUCCAUUCUGGUAUUUCCAACGGCUGAAGUAAUCCGCUUGGUCUCUGAUGCUCGGCCUUGAAUCUUUGACAUGUCAAGUAUUUUGCGACACAUUCUGCAACAUUUCUUUUCAUAUUUGGCCACCAAAAUGCCAUCGUAAAUCUUGAAACAUCUUUGUAAUUUCUGGAUGAAUUGAAUAUCUUGAGUUAUGAGCUUCAGUCAAGAUUUCGUCUUUAAUAUUCGGUACUGCUGGGACCCAAAUUCUUUCCUCGAGCCUUAAUAGUCCUUCAGCAUCGACCUUGUACUUCACCUCACUAUCCUCGAGAACUCUUUCUUUGAUUUUUCCACAUUCUUCAUCCUGUAGUUGAGCUUUCUUUACAUUGUCCACCAAAGUUGGACUAACUUCUAUUUGGAACAAUCUUUCAUCAGAUUCUUUCGGAAAUUUUAUUUCCAACUCUAGCCUUGCCAUUGCUGAAAUAAGCUCCUCCUGGGCAGUUAACAGCAUCAACUUCUCCCGACCCUUUCUACUCAAGGCAUCAGCAACCACAUUUGCUUUACCCGGAUGAUAAAAGAUUUCACAAUCAUAAUCUUUUAUCAAUUCUAGCCAUCGCCUCUGACACAUGUUCAGAUCCUUCUGUGUGAAAAUAUACUUCAGACUUUCAUGGUUCGUGUAUAUCUCAUAUUUCUGGCCAUAGAGAUAGUGUCUCCAUAUCUUCAGAGCAAAUACCACCACAGCCAAUUCUAAAUCAUGAGUCGGGUAUCCUUUUUCAUAGUCUUUUAGUUGUCUUGAGGCAUAAGCAAUGACUUUUCCAUUUUGCAUAAGCACACAACCUAGUCCUUUAUGUGAUGCAUCACUAUACACCACAAAGUUUCUUUUAUUAUCCGGUAAUGACAACAUAGGUGCCACACUAAGCUUCUUUUUCAAGUCCUAAAAACUCUUUUCGCACUUUUCCGUCCAAACAAAUUUUACAGAUUUCCUUGUCAAAUUUGUCAACGGAGUGGCAAUCUUGGAAAAAUCCUGAAUAAACCGUCUGUAGUAGCCUGAUGGUGUCCUUGAUUAUUCCCAAUUUAUUACAGCUUCGACCUUUGAUGGAUCCACCGAAAUCCCAUCUUUGUCAAUCACAUGCCCAAGAAAUUGAACACGUUCUAGCCAGAAUUCACACUUAGAGAAUUUCGCGUAUAACUUUUCUCUUCUUAGCGUCUCUAACGUCAAACAUAAAUGUUCUACGUGUUCCUCUUGAGAUUUGGAGUACACUAGAAUAUCAUCAAUGAAUACCACCACAAACUUAUCUAAGAAUGGUUUAAACACCCUGUUCAUCAAAUCCAUGAAUGCUGCAGGGGCAUUGGUGAAACCAAAAGACAUUACCAGAAACUCAUAGUGUCCAUACCGAGUUCUGAAUGUCGUCUUCGGUACAUCCUCCUUCGUUACUUUUAAUUAAUGAUACCCACUUCUCAAAUCUAUUUCGAGAAGUAUCUAGCUCUUUUUAAUUUAUCAAAUAAGUCAUCUAUUCUUGGUAACAUAUACUUAUUCUUAAUAGUGACUUUGUUUAACUCCCUAUAAUCAAUGCAAAGACGCAUCGACCCAUCAUUCUUCUUCACGAAUAACACCGGCGCUCCCCACGGUGAUACACUCGACUGAAUGUAUUUCUUAUCUAGCAUCUCUUGCAAUUGUACAAUCAAUUCCUUCAUCUCUACUGGAGCCAUUCUCUACGGGGCCUUAAAUAUCGGAGCAGUCCCUGGUGCUAAAUCGAUAACAAACUCGAUCUCUCUGUUAGGCGGAAGUCCUGGCAAAUCCUCCGGAAAUACAUCCACAAAAUCCCUAACAACUGGUAUCUCUUCCAGUUUCACACCCUUUCUCUGAGCAUCGACUAUGUAAGCUAAAUAUCCUACACAUCCUUGUCUAAACAACUUCUUGGCCUGCAUAAUCGUCACACAUCUCGCUUGUGUGACGCCCCCAAAAUAGGUAUACACCACCCAUUCUGAGUUGCCAAAUACAUGGUACAAAAUUCAAAUACAACUUAAUUAUACAACUGUCGUGUAAAAUACGACAAAACAUAAGCUGAGAGUUUUAAUACGAAUAUUAUCUUCUAGACAGUAUUCAAACUCAAAUGGAGUCCUUAUUACAUUUAUUAUCACACUAUUUCACAGAAUAGUGAUGACUACUAAUGCAAACAUCUGGACCGUCACUCCGUUCCCCGACUAGUCCCAGCUAUAUUCUCAUUUCCUGAAUAGAACAAUGAAAGUAAAGGGUGAGCUCAACUAGCCCAGUAAGAAAUAUUAUGACUAAGAUAAUGCAGAAUAAUUUAUUGGUAGUCUUCAACAGUGUUAAACUGAUAAAAUAUAAUAAACAUCAAGUUUAACUGCAGUGGAACAAGCAAUCCAUUAGAAGAGUCAAGUAGAGCAUGAUAUCUACUAUCUUAUAUGAUUUAAAAAGUUUAUCAUCAAUUUUAUCGCUGAGACUCAGCUUAAUAAAUAAUUCACAUCAUCGAAUCAUCCCUGCACUACGGGCCAAGGAUAUUUAUUAGUAUCACGACCACAAAGUAUCCAUGCACUACGGGCCAAGGAUAUUAGUGUUUUCACCAAUGGUCAUGAUCAUGCCAACAACUGUCCAUCAAUGCACUACGGGCCAAUGAGUACUUUUACCACAUCAUUUAUAACAUUACGGUCAUGAUUAUACUGAAUAAUCCCUGGUCAUAAUCAUACCAAUCAACAAUCCAUCUAUGCACGUAAGCCCAAGAUGACUUUUAUCACAAUAUAAGCAUGAGGAUGAUGACAAUGAUAUAAGAAUUCAAUUAAAAGAAAGCAAAAGAUAAAUUUUAAAGAUUUAAAAUUUAAUUUAUCCAGAAUUCAAUAAUGUCCAAAUUGUCAACAUGAUACUGCUUUGUGGAGUAAAAUUCAAGAAUGAUAUUGUACCAAAAAUAAUUUGGACAAAAAAAAAAUCAAUUUUUGUCAUGAAUAGUACCUCAGGUGAAUAGUACCCGAGUGAAUAGUACCAUGUGAAUAGCAAUUUGGGAAUAAAAUCCCGUGAAUAGUACUCCGACAUGAAAAGGUUAAAACUUAUCAAGAAUGCUCAGAAUAAUAUUUUCAUGAAAAGAUACUGGAUGAAGUGAAAAUAUCAAGGAUAUUCUACUAAUUUCAUGUAGUAUAAAAACCAAAACUUAACAAAAUGAGUGUAGAAUUUGGAAUCUGAAAUGAAAUAAUAUUACUUAUAUACUAUAGAGUAUGGAAGAAAAUAUUAUUUCUUACGAGUAUUGAACAAAAAUAAUAUCCAUUACCUUAAAAAUGAGAGUAUUCCAACUGGUAUAGCGGAGAUAUUCUUGAAGAAAACUUAUACUGUUUUCUACGCUCACAGCUUCCUUAAACUCAAAAGAAAUACGCUUAAUAUUAUAGAAGAAAAAUUCUCUAAUUCUGGUGUGAUUUUUAAUUCUAAACUAAGCAUCCUAUUUAUAGGAGAAUGGAAGGAUACUAUUUAGAAAAUUUUUCACGGGUGAACAAUAUUUUUUUUCUUUCUCACGGACGAAAGAACUGAAAGGUUCACGGAUGAAUUGAAUUCGCAGGCUUCUGAUUUUCAAAUUGCCUUACACACACGGAAGCUAUAUAUAUAUAUGAAUAUCCACUUCACAUGUUAUAUAUAUAUAUAUAUAUAUAUAUAUAUAUAUAUAUAUAUAUAUAUAUAUAUUCACACCCCACACACAUUCACCUGCACAUACAUUACACCCUCCACCACACGCCACUAAUAAAUAAUAUAUAUAUAUAUAUAAGAAAACUGAGAUAACUUUCUCCCGACGAUUUUGAAAAAUGAGAAAGUGGGGCUCCAUAUAAUAAGUAAAAUUUACAACAAAUACUAUAAUAAAAAUCCCCUCAAUAUUUUUAACAACAUUUAUUCAUCAUUAUUAUAACUCGCAAUAUUAACAACCAGAUUAUUCCCAGGAAAGAGGGGACUUUCCGAUAAGGAUUUCUCCCUAUUGGCUCGCAAUUAGGUGACCAAACCCCUUUUCUCGACAGAACUUUCUAGACAUCGUUAAUUAUGCAGAUAAUAAUAUGAAUAACUUGCCAUCUCAGUUAUUGAUUUAAUAAUAUAAAAUAUUAACAAUAAUUAAAUCAGAUAACGUGAGAUACUAUGCAACAAUUACUGUAACAAUAAUUGAAUAUAACUGAAUGACUUCUCACGUAAGCAUUAAUAAUCAAUACUGUGUGCUACUAUGCAACCACGCGUAUUACUGUACUUUUAACACCGGGUAUUUCAAUAGUUAACGAUAAAACUUUCGCCGUUAUUUUUAUAAAAAUAUAUUUCUUUCAUUUUCUAACUCCGACAAUAAUUCCGUUGUGGGGUCUACCAAUGAUUGUGCUGAAUAUUCUUUGACCAAUCGAAUAUUUUAUAACAACUUGCAUACUUUACAAAAUUUAUAAAUACUACCCACAACUAUAACAUUAUAUCAAAUUCACACCAUAAUAUUCAUAAAUAUAUUUCGAGAAAAAUUAAUCUUUAUUUAUGAAAGUUGGGGUCUUACAGCUUGUCUAGGCGAUUUGCUACCAUAGAAGACUACCUUUGACGGAGUCAUAAGGUUUACACUUUUCUUUUGGUAAUCAAUUAUCACUCCAUAAUUGAAUAGCCAAUCCAUUCCCAAUAUGACAUCAAACUCUCCAAGUUUAAUCGGGAUUAAAUCUACUAUCAUAAUACUCCCCUUAAUAUUCACCUUCUAAUUCCUAUAUACGAAUCUAACAGGAAUCAUCUCCCUAUUCGUAAUUUUUAUGUUUAAAGGGAAAUUUAACUCUUCACUAGGCAAUCCUAACCUCUUAGCAAAUUCAUUAGAUAUAAACGAGCAAGUAGCACCCGAAUCAAAUAAUACAUAUGUAUUUAUAUCAUUGAUUGGGAUAAUACCUAACACAACAUCUUUUGAUUGCACCACAUCUUGCACUGUCAUGUUAAAGGUUCUGGCUGUGGGUCUGCUCGAUGACAUUGGUCCAGCAAUAGCCAUCGUACCUCCACUGCCACCUCCUUUGCUUCCAGUUGCAUCUCCAACUUUCUUUUUAGGGCAAUCGUGAGCCAAAUGUUCCUUCGACCCGCAUGUGUAACAAGUAUUCUUCUUCGGUUGAUGGCAAUUCGGAGCAAUGUGACCCUCUUGACCACAGUUAAAGUACACUCGCUUACCCCUUAAGCACACACCAGUGUGAUUCUUCCCACAUGUAGCACACUCUUCAAAUUUCCUUUUCUGCUGGCUACUCUGUUGACUUCCAACACCAACACUCGCAUUCCACUUCCUCUUUGGGUUAUUAUUAUCCCCACCACUGCUACCACCAAUUUUACCUUCACUCUUAUUCUUCUUCUUUCUUUGUUCCUGAUUGUACUUCGUUACGGCAUCGCUUCCACCUUCUGCGAUAAUCACCUUUUUAAGUACCACUGCAAACGUCUUCAACUGAAACAUGGGGACUCUACUGUACAACCAGGGCUUCAGUCCCUGUUCGAACCUUCUCACCUUGCGCUCGUCUGUGUUCACUUGAUAUGGCGCAAACCUUGCCAACUCAUUGAAUUUUGCUGCAUACUCCGAUACUAUCAUUGCACCCUGCUUCAGUUCUAAAAACUAGGCCUCCAUCUGAUUCUGUGAACUCUCUGGGAAAUAGGUCUCAAAAAAUAUUUCCUUGAACCUAUCCCAAGUCAUUACCCCCUGACAUCCUCUGGUUUUGUUUGCCUUCCACCAAUAACUUACUUCUACUUUUAACAUGAACGUCGCAAAAGCAGUCUUCUGGUCCUCACCGACUCUAGCAACGCCAAAAACUUUCUCUAGUUUAAUGAUCCAGGUCUGUGCCUCAACCGGAUUCAUGGACCCACAAAAUUUUGGUGGUCCAACCGCCUUGAAAUCCUUAAAAGUCGCAGCUUGGUUCUGCGGUUGAUUCUGCAGCGCUCCCAUCAGUACUGUCACCAACUGCUGAACUAGGUUAGCCUCAGCGUUGUUGUUAUUUGUAGACCCCUAAGGGGUUCGUUGUCAUGAUUGACGUCUUGGAGGCAUUUUCUGUUAAAAUACACUAAUUAGAUUAUUACUCAAUCUUUUAAAUAUUUUCUACUUAACUUGCACAUCAUAAAAGAUCAUCACAUAACACAUAACAUCUUGAAUAAAUAUUAACAUUUUAUUCAUUCAUCAUCUUUAAAGAAAACAUAGGAAAGAUAACAUCCCUGCUAUCUACAUCACUUUCCUGAAAUAAUAAAGUUUCAGGAUAACAUCAUCAUAUCCCAUUAGUUACAUAACACUUGGGAUUAACAUCUUAUUUACUGUCUAAUCACAUAACAAUUACAUUAUCUAUUAUGGCCUACUAAGUUACUACAUAGCCUUACAACGCUCCUCUUCCAUAAUACAGAACAUCGUUCUACGAUCUAACAUAUACCAUGACAACAUUUCGAAUUGAGUUGGAUAAUACAUGACUCGUUCUUGAGCUCGGUUUAUCACGGUGUUGAAAACACAAUUCAUCUCUUCUAUCUUGACCUUCUUUGCUUGUACCACUCCCUCUGCUACCUCUGUACGUUGAGAAGCUUUCUCGUACGCAUCUUCAACUCUUGCUCUCUUGGCGGAUUCUUCUUUCAAGUUAUCCUUCAGCUUUGCAAUCUCCUCCAUCAGCUGCUCAUUAUCCCCCUCUGUGUGAACCAUCUUCCAUUCCACAUUACCAAGAUGCUUGUCAAGAUCCAUGAUCUCAUCGUCCUUCUGUGCCAUCGAAGUCUGACGUUUAGCUACUAACUCCUCCAAUUCCUCGACUCUAUCCUGAAGCUCAAUGUUACGAUCAUAUACUUCGUCAUAUAUAUGAGCUAUGAUAGAGUUUGGUGGAAACUCUUCCUCACUCUCAUCCUGAUCCGUCUGUGGCAGCUCCACGGGGUCUUCCUCAUUCGUCUCUACCUCAUCCUCAUCAUCAGGUAACCCUCGUGCUCAAACUCUAGGGCAUGGCCGACCACUGUGACCAAUGGAGAUAACUCCCUUGGCACUAGUUGUUCUCAAACUACCUGAAUAUCUCGAGGCUCCUCCUCUCUAGGCAUCUGAGGUCCCUCCUCCCUAGCCUGACUGGAUUCUCCUACAUUAGCCAUCCUGACAACAAAAUUUUUAAGUUUUUAAUUAUUAAUUAUCACUACUCGACACUCACGAGCACAUAGGUUGCAACCACAUAAGCACAUAGAGUGUUUUAUUAUUUCUUCCUUAAAACUCAAUAAGAGUUUAUCACCACUAUAUUUUCAAUCUUCUAUAAGGUUACUUCCUAAGGUUUUUCCCCCACCUAAGGUUCAUAACCUAAACUUUGAUACUAACUUGUGACACUCCUAAAUCUGGGUACAUCAUUCCCACAAGAUUUGGUGUUCACUAUCCAAACAUCCAUUUCUAACUACCCAAAUAUAAUAAAAUUUAAACCAUAAUUUUUCCCAUUAAAGAGAUACAUAACUUAAACCAAUAAAUCCCAGGUCAUCUAACCUUAAACAUUCAUCAAAUGCGGAAAAUUAAAUAAUUACAUCACAAUAAUUAAAACAAAGUCUGACAACAUAAAAGUCAAUAAAUUUACAAGUCUUCAACACUUGUUCAUUUUUCCUUCCCUUUUGCUAGUGGUAGGUUCAUCAACCUUCUCAACUUUAGCUGCAAUGGUUUUAUAUGCAAGAGUGAGCAAAACAAAUGCUCACUUGAAAUGGCAAUGAAUACUAACAAUAUAGAAACUACCAAUGAAUAAACUCAAUUAAACUGAAUAACAUUCUCUAUCAUUAAUAAUCAAGAACUGAAAUCAGAAUUUGAAAUUUAUCUGAGGGUCACAAGACCAUGAACUAUGUCUAAGGUUAUAAGUAUUCUUUCAACUUAAACCUAAACAGUCAUAAGACUGUAGGGACUCUCCAUACUUAGGGUGAUCAGCCCUUCGUACCAUGUAUUGUGCACAAAUAUCUAAACGCUUACGCGUAAUAAAUCCCCUAUAAUAGGGUUGUUCAUCUCAGUUUUAACAUACGAGUCCGCACCAAAGGAAGUUUGGUUUGUAUAUGUUUCAAGGGUAAUUUAGAGUUUAACGAACAUCAACUAUGGAUUAGUUGAAUCAAUAAAGUUUGAUAUCAUUUCAAGUGUUUGAAAACAAUAUGAUAUGGAAUAAUCAUGUAUCAUAAGUAAAUCAACAUUAUACAUCAAAAUCAUGCUUUAGAAAUGAACUAGAAAGAGUAGGCAUUGGAUAUUAUAACAAACCUUGCUUGAACAACAAUAAGCUAAGGCUAUAAUCUUACUCAAUAAAAGGAUUGAGUUAAUGAACUUGCAUAAUUAAUAACAAGUUGAGGAAUAAAACUUUCUCAACUUAAGAUUAAUAGAAUUUAGGAAUUUGCGUAAUAAGAAACAAGUUAUAGAUAAGAAACAUUCUCAAAGUAAGAGUUAGGUUAAAGAACUUGCAUGAACAUAAUCAAAUUAUAAAAGUAGGGUUAGGAACUUGCUUAAUUGUGAACAAGAUAGGGUAAACUCAAAUAGAGAUUAGAGUUCAAAAACUUGCCUCGUGCAUAAGCUAUUAAAUUACAACUCACGUUCACCUACACAUAUCAUUAGAAUCACAACAUCUAUUAGGUAUACUAACAUUAACCUUACAAGUAAAAUCCCAUUUUAGUUGAACACGUUAUCUUAGUACAAGUUCCAAUCACUAGCACGAUACACAAUUCUGAAAUCAUAAGUCUUAACAUUACAACACUUAAUCACCAUCUCUAGACUAUAACAAAUAAUAACAUGAAGUUUUCACAACUUACUAAUUUUACAAAUUCAGAAUUAUCAAAUAAAUAUUACAAUCUGUUAUAGCGUCUUUGUUACAUGCUCACCACAUUAUCAUUUUCAUUAGACUAAAUUAUAUUGAGUUUUAAAGACUAAACAAUCAACAAGACAUCACUGUCUCUGUUCUGGCUAGGGCGCAGCUGCGCCGUUUAAAGCUCUAGAACCAGCACAGCGCAGCUGCACCGUUUCUGCCUUUGACUCUAGUGCAGCUGCGCUGGUGCGCAGACAGAAACUUCGUAGACUAUUUCUUACUCUGUUCAAACCCAAUACACAUGAUUUUCAUCAUUUAAGCAGCAAAUUAAACACACCCAAUUCAUAUAGGCUUCAUAUAAACAUUAACCAACAUAUAUACACUGAUUUAAAACAACUAAACAACUAAAAAAAUGAAACUAAAAGAAUUAAAACCAUGUUCAAGCUUAAAACUCAAAUUUUGACGUGUUUAACGAAUUCAAUUACUAUGACUUCAUUUCUCAACCAAAACAGUUCAUUCAAACUACAUUCUUUUCGUUUCUUUGUGAAUUAACACAUUCAAGAAUCAAUUUACAAUUUAAUUCACGAAUUAAAUAUCAAUUUUGGACUCCAACAAGCCAUAUUCAUACGUAUGCUCACUGUAACUAAUUUCUUUUUUUUUGAACGUGAUUUUCUGAAUUAAUAUACGAAAUCCAUGUCUAGAUGUUAGUUAUCACAUUACAAUUACAUAUAAACACAAUCAAUCACUUCAUAAAUCCAAAGUUCAUCAAAAGUUGCAUUAAAGAGAUUUUGAAAACCAAUUUUAUUUUGCAGUGAAACUCAAAAACACUAUUCCUUCAAUUAAAUUCCAUAUUCUUGAUUUAAUUCUACAUAUAACAAUAAUCAUCUGAAUACAAAUUUCUAUUCUCACAAAUCAUCAACUAAAAACUCAAUUACAGAGAAUUUUUAUGAAAACUCAAGAACACAUAAAACGUUUCAUAUAUAUUAGAACUAAAACUUUAGAAAUUAAAAUUAUACCUUUAAUUUGCUUGUUUAACCAACAAGAAUGAUUAGCUAGCUUAUUUGAUUUCUCAAACUCCUUCCUUCAAACUCACAGACUUCUCUCCUUUUCUGUCUUUUUUGUCUUCUUUCUCUUCUUUGUUUUCUUCUUCCUUUAGUAUUAGGCUAAAACUAAAACUUAACGUAAAAAUAAAACAGACGCUAACGUAUAAAAAUUGACAUAUACUAAUAACUCUACUAAAUAUAUGAGUUAUUUUUUAUUUUAAAUUCAAAAGUUAUAAGGUCUUGUCUGGCAAAAUACUUUUACAAUAAAGACUUAACAUUCCUUAAGCCUUGUUUGGCAUCACUAAAUUUAAACUUUUUUUUAAUUUAUUGUAAUAACUCAUUUAUAAUAUAGUUUGUUGUCACACUUUAUUUAAUUAAAUUCUAAUAUUCAAAUUUAAUUAAAUUAAAGCUAAUAAAAACUUAUUAAAUUAAUUUGCCACAUAAUCACAUUGCCACAAAAUUAUAAUUUUCUUAUAAUUUAAUUUAAUAAAUUAAUACAUCACUUUCAUUACUAAAUUAAAUUAAAAUAACAUUAUAAUAAUUCAUUUAAUCCUUAUUAACUCUCUAAUUUAAUUAUUAAAUUAAAUUAGAAUAUCACCACAUAAUAAUUAAUUCAUUACUCUUUUAUUUUAAUUAACUUUAAAAUACCAAAUUACCAAUUAUCAACUUAAUUAACAUAUUACCUUAAUUAAGUUAAUUCCCAACAACUCAUGAAUUAUUUAUUUAACUAAUAAAUAAUCAAAUUAAAUAAAUAUUUAUUUAACAAUAAACAGAUCAACUAAAAUAUUUUUUAAUUUUAAUAAAUAUUUUAAAUUACACAUAAAAAUUUUGGAUUAUUACAAUAGGUCUGUUUUAUUGGUGAUGAUCAGAAUUUGACUGUUGCUAAAAAGGUUAUAAAAAUUCAAAAUUUUGGUAAUAGUAGUAGAUGUUGGAUUAUAGAGUAAGUGCGGUUGAAGUUUAUGGAUAAUUUAUGCUGCUAAAGUUCUCAGGUGAAGAUAUUGACAUUCUUUUUGGUUAUUUGUGUUCCAUCACUUUUUCUAUUUAUUUUACAUGUAUUUUGUGGUAUGGCUGUUUAAUCAGUUUUUCAAAAAGGCUGAUGAUUUAAUAAAGUUGUUUGCUCUUAUGCCUCUUUUAAUUGUAUAUAUGUUAUUAUGUAUGCUUAUAUAUUGUUGUGUAGAUGGUUGCUAUGAGAUUCUAUUGAUACAUAAAUUUGUGUAUGUUGGUCUUUAUCGGUAAAAUGUGUACAUUACAUGUUUGAUGAAAUGCCAAAAAGAAAUAUACAUUAAUAUUUCAUAAUGCCUAGAAUGUAUACUAAUAUAACCUAACUCUAAAGGUUGUUAGCUCAAAGAUGAUAAUGCAGAGAGGUUAAGGACACCAAAUACGUCUUGCUGAAUGCUUGGUAGGUGACGAGACUGGAAUGAUUAUAUUCAAAGCCAGAAAUGAUCAGGGAAUGGUUUAUUGUUGAAGUUACUAGAAAACAUUGUUAUUUAGCCUUUACUUUGAUUUCCUUAUAAUGUUAUGUGUUAAUUAUUCUAAGUUUGGUCUGCUUUGCUAGAAGAGAUCUCAACUGAUAGCCACUUCAUCCCAAAUUGAGAAUUUCAGUUUGCAUAAACAUGACCAAUUUAUUUUUGAUGUUUAAUGUGGACUCCUCAUUUGUUCAUUUUCUUUACAACUAUUGAUAAGCUGAAUAAAGACUCAAAAAAUGAGGUAUAUGUGGAUGAUAUGACAAAUGUUUUGUAAUCAAUUCGUGUUAUAAAUAUAACUAGAAGGCUGACAGUGAGUUUUAAGGAAUGAGAAG
RNAcentral lists this long non-coding RNA (22477 nucleotides) under Panax ginseng (ginseng). RNAcentral's name for it is "long non-coding RNA (PGIN_LNC014596)". Lineage: Eukaryota; Viridiplantae; Streptophyta; Magnoliopsida; Apiales; Araliaceae. The record is from RNAcentral.